This 69-nucleotide transfer RNA is filed under the name Ictidomys tridecemlineatus (thirteen-lined ground squirrel). RNAcentral's name for it is "Spermophilus tridecemlineatus (thirteen-lined ground squirrel) tRNA". It matches the Rfam family "tRNA". Rfam says of the family: Transfer RNA (tRNA) molecules are approximately 80 nucleotides in length. Their secondary structure includes four short double-helical elements and three loops (D, anti-codon, and T loops). Lineage: Eukaryota; Metazoa; Chordata; Mammalia; Rodentia; Sciuridae. The record is from Rfam by way of RNAcentral.
GGGGCUGUAGCUCAGUGGUAGAGCACUUGCCUAGCAUGUGGGAGAUACUGGAUUCGAUCCUCAGCACCA